This 406-nucleotide ribosomal RNA is filed under the name uncultured bacterium. RNAcentral's name for it is "partial 16S ribosomal RNA". It matches the Rfam family "Bacterial small subunit ribosomal RNA", at positions 30 to 526 of the family's 1533-position model. The record is from RNAcentral.
AUUGAACGCUGGCGGCAGGCCUAACACAUGCAAGUCGAACGAGUGGCGGACGGGUGAGUAAUGUCUGGGAAACUGCCUGAUGGAGGGGUAUAACUACUGGAAACGGUAGCUAAUACCGCAUACCCUCAGAUGUGCCCCGAUGGGAUUAGCUAGUUGGUGGGGUAACGGCUCACCAAGUCGACGAUCCCUAGCUGGUCUGAGAGGAUGAACAGCCACAUGGAAACUGAGACACGGUCCAGACGCCGACGGGAGGCAGCAGUGGGUAAUAUUGCACAAGGGGCGCAAGCCUGAUGCAGCCAUGCCGCGUGUAGGAAGAAGGCCUUCGGGUUGUAAAGUACUUUCAGCGGGGAGGCGUUACCCGCAGAAGAAGCACCGGCUAACUCCGUGCCAGCAGCCGCGGUAAUUC